CCCUUAGAUGUUCUGGGCCGCACGCGCGCUACACUGACUGGUGCAACAAGCAUCCGUCCUUGGCCGACAGGCCCGGGCAAUCUUUGAACGCUGGUCGUGAUGGGGAUAGACUUUUGCAAUUUUUGGUCUUCAACGAGGAAUUCCUAGUAAACGCAAGUCAUCAACUUGCAUUGAUUACGUCCCUGCCCUUUGUACACACCGCCCGUCGCACCUACCGAUUGAAUGGUCCGGUGAAGCCUCCGGAUUGGCGCGCACCUCGGUGCCGCCGAGAAGUUGGCUAAACCUUACCAUUUAGAGGAAGGUGAAGUCGUAACA
This 315-nucleotide ribosomal RNA is filed under the name uncultured eukaryote. Its description in RNAcentral is "partial 18S ribosomal RNA". It matches the Rfam family "Eukaryotic small subunit ribosomal RNA", at positions 1470 to 1796 of the family's 1831-position model. The record is from RNAcentral.